CUACGGGUGGCUGCAGUGGGGAAUAUUGGACAAUGGGCGCAAGCCUGAUCCAGCCAUGCCGCGUGAGUGAUGAAGGCCCUAGGGUUGUAAAGCUCUUUCACCGGUGAAGAUAAUGACGGUAACCGGAGAAGAAGCCCCGGCUAACUUCGUGCCAGCAGCCGCGGUAAUACGAAGGGGGCUAGCGUUGUUCGGAUUUACUGGGCGUAAAGCGCACGUAGGCGGACUAUUAAGUCAGGGGUGAAAUCCCGGGGCUCAACCCCGGAACUGCCUUUGAUACUGGUAGUCUUGAGUUCGAGAGAGGUGAGUGGAAUUCCGAGUGUAGAGGUGAAAUGCGCAGAUAUUCGGAGGAACACCAGUGGCGAAGGCGGCUCACUGGCUCGAUACUGACGUUGAGGUGCGAAAGCGUGGGGAGCAAACAGGAUUAGAUACCCGCGUAGUC
Molecule: ribosomal RNA, 439 nt
Filed under: uncultured bacterium
Lineage: Bacteria
Description: partial 16S ribosomal RNA
Rfam family: Bacterial small subunit ribosomal RNA
Source: RNAcentral